AAGAAUUCGACAUAAUAUCGUUCUUGUAGGCUCAUCCAAAGAGUAGACAGUUGAUGAUCACGUUGAUCCUUGGUAGCAUCGUCGCGGAUCUAUUAUGACAAAAGGGACACAAGUGCCUUGCCGUUGAACAGCGUUACCAACGACGAAGAUAAAUCGGAAGAAAUGCAAACGACGUUGCUACGUCGCUUGAAUGAAGCUCCAUUACGACGAUUUUCGAGGACACCCUUCGACGUGGACAAGAACGGGCGGAAAAAGGGCGAGCUAGCAACCAGAGAACGGAGUGACAUUGUGCCGGUGAAAUCAAGAAUUACGAGAUGGAUCUUUCCCGCUGAUUGAAGACUGAAGAUGUUAAAAUUAUGAAAAAAAACUAUGUACGAAUUGAAGAAGUGUACGUUAUCCUAUGGCCGACCAUAUGCAACAGUUGUCAAGAAUAUUUGUCAACAAGUUGAAAUUAUAAGGUGGACGUAGCGCAACUUGAAAAUUCGUAGUACGAGAGCAGACGAGCGGAGAUCGUGGAGCCAUAGAACAUGGAUAACCGCAUUAAUGGAAAAAUUCGCGGCAGAAGCGAGAUUUCGGCGAGCUUUGAAAGAGCCUGGGCUCUUAACUCACCGAGAAAUCGGGGAUCAUUAGGCGAACUUAGGUAGACCGGAGACCGAAAAAGGGCGACGGUUUCUCGCAACUGUCCGGUUGACCCAUAUCUUUCGGAAAAACUGAAAAACUGACGGACCGGAGGAAAUACCACGCAGAUGGCGCUGUGCUUGCGCCACGCUACGUACAUAAAUUUCCCUUUUUUUCUUGCCCUUGGCGCUUUUGUUGGCCCGGAGAGACGGUUCUCCUUUUUUCUAUCCUUCACGAGGCACCACGCUCGAAUGCUUUAGACAAAAGGACGCGGACUGCGUUUCACCAACAGACAGAGGGAGAAAAAAGAAGGAAAUGCUGCACUGGGGCAAAUGGACACAGGACAGCCCUCUCUCCACGAAGAAUGAAAUUGCGGUAGCUGUCGUGUCCGUUUACGUUUAACUGCUCGCUUAAAUCUUCACCGUUUCGGAGCGAACUAACUGCAAUCGGACCACUUCACUUUGUUUAGCGUAGAGAUAUCGCCAGCUUCCACGUUGAACGCAAAUUAAUUCUUUUUUUUAAGCUACAAAAUUUGCACCAGCCUGGUGAGUCGUGUUGAGACGAAAGAAAAAGUAUUAUUGGAUUAGCUUGUAGUUUAUUUAGCGAACGUCCAGCUGGACAAAUUGUAAAGUACAAAUUAAAUAACAAUAAUAAAAAAAAGUUUAUAGUUUGCUUCAAUUGG
RNAcentral lists this unclassified non-coding RNA (1300 nucleotides) under Bombus terrestris (buff-tailed bumblebee). RNAcentral's name for it is "misc RNA ENSBTSG00005023079.1". The record is from RNAcentral. Lineage: Eukaryota; Metazoa; Arthropoda; Insecta; Hymenoptera; Apidae.